RNAcentral lists this ribosomal RNA (2633 nucleotides) under Triticum aestivum (bread wheat). RNAcentral's name for it is "partial small subunit ribosomal RNA". The record is from RNAcentral. Lineage: Eukaryota; Viridiplantae; Streptophyta; Magnoliopsida; Poales; Poaceae.
CUAUUGGAGUCAAAGUAGCUGGCAGGGACAGCAAGAGGUGAAACAGAUUGCGCCACUCCAGCAGUUACCGAAUGUCGGUUUCCUCUGCUGCAUGACUUACUGGUAUAAAGAAGGCGCUUCAAGUGUAAUAAAUCCGCAAACCCAGCCCCAGUUCGUGGUGCUUGCACUGGAGGUGCGGCCUUUAAUUGUCACAAUCAGGAAGGGCUGCUUCGUAGACGGAGCAAAAUACAGCGGCGACGGGACGAUUGAACAAGCAUGGUUAAAAGAGUCGUCGGACGCCAACGUCAACGUGUCUACCUUCCGUGACUGGUCCUCUUAGGAACGCGGUAGACGGAGCCGCCGUACCGGCGGCCGCCGCCCGUCCGGUGGAAGUGCCGCCUCACGAGGGUGUGGAAGGUGAAGUUGACGUAGAGGCGGUCGCAGCGCGUGCCGGUGGAGCAGACGGGCGAGACGUUGCGCGCGACCGCUCUCGACGGCAAUGACGCUGGGUGGCGCGGCCACGGCGUCGGCGGAUGCGACGGAUCCGACCCAGCAGGGCAAGGGUACGUGCGGCACGUCGGAGGCUUGCUCGGCUAUAGUAGCGGAGGAGAGUACGUGCCGCCCUACGGAGGCAAGGGGCGCGUCCGCGGCGGCGGCGGCGCGCCCGUAUAGUACGUCGUAGUGGUCGGCGGCGGCUUGCACGUACAGCACGUCGUCGUCGUCGGUGGCGGGCUCGGAUGCCAGCAGAAGCUGCUGCUGCUCGUCCACCUCGGCCGGAGGUCCGGCGGUCGACUGCUAUGUGGCGGUCGAUGUAGCUUGCCCCGUCACCAGCAGUUGUGCGUGCGGCUCAUGCGCCAGCAGCGGGCCCUGAGCAGGUCGCUGUUGAAGCGGCACGAGCACGUGCAGUUCCGAGGGCCCUACCGGCUGCGGCACCGCCGGCCGUCGCUGUUCGGCGGGGGCGCGCGCGGCGACCUGGAGCACUGGCACGAGCUGCAGUCGCCGUCGUACUCGCCGGUGUUCGACCGCGACGACUUCGUCCGGUACGCCAAGCAGUAGCUGUUGGAGCCGGGGCUGCUGGCGGAGAGGCAGCACAGGAAGAGGAGGCUCCGCGCGGCCGACUGGUCCGAGUGCGCGUACAGCCUGCGGCCCUUCCGGGACCGGCACUCGCGGCACCUCAGGGAACGCCGCGCGCCGCCGUGGUUGUAGCGGCUCCCCGAGGCGUGCCGGCGGUUCCACGAGCUGCUCGCGGCCGUGUCCUUGCGGCAGAGGUCGCAGCACGAGGAGAGGCUGCCUGUCCUGUGGAUAUGGUACUACUCCGCGGCUCCCGGCAGGCCGCAGGUCCGGUCAUUGAUGCUCCUCGAGCAGGGCGGGAGGAAGCGCGCGUGCCCGCGGCUGCCGCUGACCAGUCGCGGCUAGGUGUGAAAGCCGAAGCCGUUGCUGGUGCUGCGGCGGCGCUACGUGCAGUAGCGGCUCCGCUGUCCGCCGUGCAAGAGCAAGUAGCUCUUGCUCCGCCACUAGGUCCUGCGCAAGCGCGUCACGUAGCCGCCCGACGAGAGGCAGCACCAGGUCCUCCGCGCGUAGCGGCAGAGCACGCACGUGGGGCCCCAGGCACAGCACAGGUAGUUCAGGCCGGCGAUGCUCUCGGCGCAGCUGCUCCUGCCGGCCCGGCGCAGACAAGCUCAGCCCCUUGAGAUGCGGCUGCUCCUCUCCGCAAAGAACGACAAGGACCGGCACGGUUCUUGGCUCCGCUGUCUGUCGCUGUGGUGACGAGACCACUUUCACCGGAAGUCGAUGUCUUUGCGCCGCUGGCCGCGCCUCCACUCGCACUGCCGGCUCCUGUGCCACCACCGCUCCGGUCUCGUGCGCGGCCUGUGCAGCCUCGCGAGUCACCUCCACCUCGCCCUCGCGCAGGCCCACCUCCGCCGUCUUCUGUAGCGCCGCCGCUCCCGUCGCCGCCUCGCCCCUCUCGUGGUCCUCCGCCACCUCUAGGAGCUCUUGGCAGUCGCCCGCGACCUCGUCAGCCUCCGCCGUCCCCUGCCGCUGGGGUACUAGUACCGCGACCCCCGGCUCGACGUCCUCUACGCGCCCGAACACAGCUUGGCCGUCUCGAUGUACUCCAGCCCCGCCCGCAUGUACGACCGGCCGUACUCGCGCGUGGUCGUCGUCGCGCGGUGGAGGUCCGUCUACGACCUCGGCCUCCUCGUCGUCUGCAACUACUCCCGCGCCUGACCUCACUCCUCCUACUAGUCUUCUCACCCCAGCUCGCCGCCCCCUAUAUACCGCCGCCGCGGUCACCGGCUCCGCAGCUUGCUCCGCUGGUACAGCAUGCGCUGCGGCCGGUACGCGCGGUACGACGACGCGAGCGCACACCACGCACCCCGCAGCUGGCUCGUUCCCGUCGUCCUCCUCGGGUACCGGCCUCUUCUUCUACGGCCCUCGAGGCUCGGCUUCUAGGUUUGAGGCUUCCUGCACUUGGUCAUCGGUAAUACGCAUGCUUUACCUCAUGCUCCACAGUAAAUGUUGCACAAACCUGUUUAAACCACUAACAAAGAGAACACAUUGAUCAAUUAGUCAUACUGGUGAACAGGUACUUAAACAAAGACAAGGGUUUUCACGGUGGACUUUCAAAUGGCUAGACAAAAAAAGAACCCCCC